This 460-nucleotide ribosomal RNA is filed under the name uncultured bacterium. RNAcentral's name for it is "partial 16S ribosomal RNA". It matches the Rfam family "Bacterial small subunit ribosomal RNA", at positions 338 to 795 of the family's 1533-position model. The record is from RNAcentral.
CCUACGUGUGGCAGCAGUGAGGAAUAUUGGUCAAUGGGCGCGAGCCUGAACCAGCCAAGUAGCGUGAAGGAUGACUGCCCUACGGGUUGUAAACUUCUUUUAUAAAGGAAUCAAGUGAGGCACGUGUGCCUUUUUGUAUGUACUUUAUGAAUAAGAAUCGGCUAACUCCGUGCCAGCAGCCGCGGUAAUACGGAGGAUCCGAGCGUUAUCCGGAUUUAUUGGGUUUAAAGGGAGCGUAGAUGGGUUGUUAAGUCAGUUGUGAAAGUUUGAGGCUCAACCGUAAAAUUGCAAUUGUUACUGGCAGUCUUGAGUACAGUUGAGGUAGGCGGAAUUCGUGGUGUAGCGGUGAAAUGCUUAGAUAUCACGAAGAACUCCGAUUGCGAAGGCAGCUUACUAAACUGCCACUGACAUUGAUGCUCGAAAGUGUGGGUAUCAAACAGGAUUAGAUACCCGAGUAGUC